UGGGGAAUAUUGCACAAUGGGCGAAAGCCUGAUGCAGCGACGCCGCGUGAGGUAUGACGGCCUUCGGGUUGUAAACCUCUUUCAGUAGGGACGAAGCGCAAGUGACGGUACCUGCAGAAGAAGCACCGGCUAACUACGUGCCAGCAGCCGCGGUAAUACGUAGGGUGCGAGCGUUGUCCGGAAUUACUGGGCGUAAAGAGCUCGUAGGCGGUUUGUCACGUCGUCUGUGAAAUCCUAGGGCUUAACCCUGGACGUGCAGGCGAUACGGGCUGACUUGAGUACUACAGGGGAGACUGGAAUUUCUGGUGUAGCGGUGGAAUGCACAGAUAUCAGGAAGAACACCGAUGGCGAAGGCAGGUCUCUGGGUAGUAACUGACGCUGAGGAGCGAAAGCAUGGGUAGCGAACAGG
Molecule: ribosomal RNA, 409 nt
Filed under: bacterium
Lineage: Bacteria
Description: partial 16S ribosomal RNA
Rfam family: Bacterial small subunit ribosomal RNA
Source: RNAcentral